This 264-nucleotide long non-coding RNA is filed under the name Fukomys damarensis (Damara mole-rat). Its description in RNAcentral is "lncRNA (ENSFDAG00000027300.1)". Lineage: Eukaryota; Metazoa; Chordata; Mammalia; Rodentia; Bathyergidae. The record is from RNAcentral.
AAGCAAAGAUGUUUAUUUGACUGACUUUGGAUUAUUGAAAAGCAUUACCUUGAGAAGUGACAAUGAUUUUUCAGUAAUCAUCAUUUGGGUAAUAUCUUGAAGCAAUGGAAAUUUGAGCUAUAUUCUUUGAAGAUUUAUCUAACCUGUGGUGAUGGAACACCAAGCCUAAGAAAACACUGCCAAGAGUGGAUGACACCUAUAUCACAAGAGUACUGAAAGGCAAAUUCUAAAACCCAUACAAGAAAGCAUAACACAUACCACAUU